UCGACCUCGGCGCCUGCCGCGUCAGCUACCACGACGUCGGACGCGUGGAGCUGGAGAUACAAGCUUCAUUAGCCGUUCGCAUCUUCGACGAGCAUACUUCAUCUUGGUGGAGAAUUGUUUUGACCCAUGAUUUCCCUAUGAUGGUGGUGUUCCAAGUGAUCGGAGUCGCCUGGGUUCUGUUCAUGUUCCUCCAGGAAUGGCGAGACGGUAGAAGGAGAAGAGCCCAGGCCAAUCGGCUGCCAUAGGUGGGAGGUUCAGUUCAGGGUUUCAACUUCUGUUUGUAAUUCGACCGAUCGGCUGAUCCUGAACAAGCAAAUCCAUUUGCGGCAAAAGAAAAGGGCCCAUAUAUUUCCAUACAAGAUUGUACAUUCAGAAAUUGAUAGGGACUGUUUCCUUGUUCCUCCGAUUUAUCAAAUGGAAAAGGCGAUAUACUGAUACUCCGUAUAAUGUUGGAGACUGGAGAGUGCGGACUGAUAAAUAUGCAGAUACAGAAAUCAAUGUAGGGCUGUAGGCAUCACUUGCGAUGUCACCUUGUUAUUGUUUAUUAUAGAAAAAGUCCAAUAUGACUCCCUCAACUGUAGGUUGGAUCUGAUCUUUAUUCCUCAACCGUAAAACCAGGUAUAACGACUCCUUCAA
This is a long non-coding RNA of Oryza sativa Japonica Group (Japanese rice), 636 nucleotides long. RefSeq lists it as uncharacterized. NCBI's taxonomy places the organism in Eukaryota, Viridiplantae, Streptophyta, Magnoliopsida, Poales, Poaceae. The record is from RefSeq and is a predicted model, not a curated record.